RNAcentral lists this long non-coding RNA (982 nucleotides) under Nicotiana benthamiana. RNAcentral's name for it is "long non-coding RNA (NBEN_LNC005593)". The record is from RNAcentral. Lineage: Eukaryota; Viridiplantae; Streptophyta; Magnoliopsida; Solanales; Solanaceae.
UUUUAAAUUCAAAAAAAUAUUAUUUUGGUUCUGAACUCUUACACAUUACAUUUGUCCUUGAUCCAAAAGGAAAAGAAAAAUCAGAUCGCUUUAGCGACCUGGAAUAUUAAAGAAAGAAAAACAACACUAAAAGACACGUCCAAUGGGAAUACUUAAAAUAAAGAAAAAAUGACCAAAACUAUCCCCGUAUAUUAAAUAGUUUAUAUUUAUCCUUUAUUAUACUUUCCGUUCAAAAUUAACCCUAUGUUUAAGAUAGUAAGCAAAUUUUUUCCUAACCCUACCGGAUGUUUUUCAGAUCAUUGAGACCCCUCAAUUAAAAAUACCACGUAAUUUACCUCACCACCCCAGUAUCUCUCUUCCCCUUCGAUUUCUUCUUUCACCACCGAAAAGCCUCAAUUUUCCACCACAAAGCCUCAACAGUACAUUCAAGUAACUUAGAAUGAAUAGAACAUGAUAGACCUAUCGGGUAUUCUUCAAGCUUUUCCAAAUUCUUUAAUGGUGAUUUAGUCUCGUUUCAAAUACAUCUCCCAAAUCUUUAAGUAAGCACAACAAAUUGCCGAUGAGAACAAAAAUGAAAAUAAAGAAGAAGGUGAAUUAAAGAGAUUGGAUAAAGCGUACAGUUGCCGAUGAAGGUGAAGAAAUCAAGAAGCCUCAAAGCACCAACAAACCCAGCUAACAAUGAUACUCAAACUUCAAUGAAUCUCAAUACUUUUAUGUUGUCAAGUUUUUCUUUACAAAUUCUUCAAUGAUGCCAUCAAAGUAAUCGAGCAAGAUAUGAAGAGAAAAAAUAUUUUUGUGGCAUAAAGUAGGUGUCUUCUACAAAAUCUAACAUGGUUGUAUUGAGUAAAGCUUAAGGUAGGCAUACUUUGAUGACUUUUAAUUUCAUCGGCGACUUAUGUUCGCAUGAGUUGAUUUAAAUUUCUUAUCGGAAUCGGUGAAAUAGCUGGCACGUGAUGGUGGACGGCACAUAUGGGGUAAAAAU